Long non-coding RNA from Eptesicus fuscus (big brown bat), 483 nucleotides. RefSeq lists it as uncharacterized. Lineage: Eukaryota; Metazoa; Chordata; Mammalia; Chiroptera; Vespertilionidae. The transcript is spliced from 2 exons. The record is from RefSeq and is a predicted model, not a curated record.
UUCGUGGGCUGUUUAAAUGUUGCUCUGAUCAUGUCUUUUAUUUCCAUGGGGGAAAAGAGAAAAGGGCAACAGGCAGGAAGAAAAAAAUAAGGAUCGAAAAUGAAAUAAAGCGAUAAAGGGAUUCCUCCACGUGCGUCCUAUAUUUUUGACAAAUGGGCCUUUCGUGCGCAAACUUCAUCAUCAAAUUGGUUCAAGAAUAAAUUGCUGGAAGUGAACUUUCUAAUAUUAGCCCUUGUGACAGCCAAUGAAGAUGGAUGGGACAAAGCAAGGACUUCACUCUGCAGAGGAGGAGCUCUCUUUGCCCACUGUGGUGGCUAACGGCAAAUUUGUUUUGAAAAGAAAAAAAAAUAGAAUCAUCUAAUUGCUUAAUUCUGUGGAAAGCCACUGCCAACAAGCCAGCUCAAAUACAUAGACUUUUGUUAAACAAGUAACUGUAAAACUCUCACAUACACAUCCAAUAAAAACCUCAGUUUUUUCCCAUUA